GAACUCGUGGGUAAGCCAAAUUAAAAAGGCAUCUUUUUAUUUUUAAAAGACCUUUUUCGGAAGGUAUGCUUAAAAAGGGGCUUGCGUCACAUUAGUUAGUUGGCAGGGUAAAGGCUUACCAAGACUAUGAUGUGUAGCUGGACUGAGAGGUUGAACAGCCACAUUGGGACUGAGACACGGCCCAAACUCCUACGGGAGGCAGCAGUAGGGAAUUUUCGGCAAUGGAGGAAACUCUGACCGAGCAACGCCGCGUGAACGAUGAAGUAUUUCGGUAUGUAAAGUUCUUUUAUUGAAGAAGAAAAAAUAGUGGAAAAACUAUCUUGACGAUAUUCAAUGAAUAAGCCCCGGCAAACUAUGUGCCAGCAGCCGCGGUAAUACAUAGGGGGCGAGCGUUAUCCGGAAUUAUUGGGCGUAAAGGGUGCGUAGGCGGUUUAAUAAGUCUAUAGUUUAAUUUCAGUGCUUAACACUGUCCUGCUAUAGAAACUAUUAGACUAGAGUGAGAUAGAGGCAAGUGGAAUUCCAUGUGUACGGUAAAAUGCGUAAAUAUAUGGAGGAACACCAGAGGCGUAUGCGGCUUGCUGGGUCUUUACUGACGCUGAGGCACGAAAGCGUGGGGAGCAAACAGGAUUAGAUACCCCUGGUAGUCCACGCCGUAAACGAUGAGUAUUAAGUAUCGGGAUUACUCGGUACUGAAGUUAACACAUUAAAGUAAUCCGCCUGAGUAGUACGUACGCAAGUAUGAAACUUAAAGGAUUGACGGGACUCCGCACAGCGGGGAUCAUGUUGUUAAUUCGAAGAUACACGAAAACCUUACCAGGUCUUGACAUACUCUGCAAAGCUAUAGCAAUAUAGUGGAGGUUAUCAGGGAUACUGGUGGUGCAUGUUUGUCCUCGCUCGUGUCUUGAGAUGUUAGGUUAAGUCCUAAAACGAGCGCAACCCUUGUCAUUAGUUGCCAGCAUGUCAUGAUGGGCACUUUAAUGAGACUGCCAAUGAAAAAUUGGAGGAAGGUGAGGAUCACGUCAAAUCAUCAUGCCCUUUAUGAUCUGGGCUACAAACGUGAUACAAUGGCUGUUACAAAGAGUAGCUGAAACGCAAGUUUAUAGCCAAUCUCAUAAAAGCAGUAUCAGUUCGGAUUGAAGUAUGCAACUCGACUUCAUGAAGUUGGAAUCGCUAGUAAUCGCGAAUCAGCAUGUCGCGGUGAAUACGUUCUCGGGGUUUGUACACACCGCCCGUCAAACCACGAAAGUUGGUAAUACUCAAAAACAUUAGCCUAACUUCUUCGGAAGAGGGAACCGUCUAAGGUAGGAUCGAUGAUUUAAGAUAAAAGUUGGAGAGCCAAU
Molecule: ribosomal RNA, 1340 nt
Filed under: Candidatus Phytoplasma sacchari
Lineage: Bacteria; Bacillati; Mycoplasmatota; Mollicutes; Acholeplasmatales; Acholeplasmataceae
Description: bacterial SSU rRNA
Rfam family: Bacterial small subunit ribosomal RNA
Source: RNAcentral